GACGAGCGCUGGCGGCGUGCUUAACACAUGCAAGUCGAACGGAAAGGCCCUGCUUUUGUGGGGUGCUCGAGUGGCGAACGGGUGAGUAACACGUGAGUAACCUGCCCUUGACUUUGGGAUAACUUCAGGAAACUGGGGCUAAUACCGGAUAGGAGCUCCUGCUGCAUGGUGGGGGUUGGAAAGUUUCGGCGGUUGGGGAUGGACUCGCGGCUUAUCAGCUUGUUGGUGGGGUAGUGGCUUACCAAGGCUUUGACGGGUAGCCGGCCUGAGAGGGUGACCGGCCACAUGGGAACUGGGAUACGGCCCAGACCCCUACGGGGGGCAGCAGUGGGGAAUAUUGCACAAGGGGCGGAAGCCUGAUGCAGCAACGCCGGGGGCGGGAUGCCGGCCUUCGGGUUGUAAACCGCUUUCGCCUGGGACGAAGGGGGAGUGACGGUAAUGGGUAAAGAAGCACCGGCUAACUACGU
RNAcentral lists this ribosomal RNA (467 nucleotides) under uncultured bacterium. RNAcentral describes it as "partial 16S ribosomal RNA". It matches the Rfam family "Bacterial small subunit ribosomal RNA", at positions 28 to 506 of the family's 1533-position model. The record is from RNAcentral.